This 72-nucleotide transfer RNA is filed under the name Stegodyphus mimosarum. It matches the Rfam family "tRNA". Rfam says of the family: Transfer RNA (tRNA) molecules are approximately 80 nucleotides in length. The record is from Rfam by way of RNAcentral. Lineage: Eukaryota; Metazoa; Arthropoda; Arachnida; Araneae; Eresidae.
GGCUUUGUGGUGUAAUGGUUAGCACACUCGGCGCGUAUUCGAGAGGUCCAGGUUCGAACCCCGACGGAGAUA